CAACCUUAAAACAUGGAUCAAGUUUUCAAGUAGAAAAAGAGAAUUAGCUGUUUUCACAGUCGUUGUUUAUUCAGUUUUUUUGAUAGAUGCCUGGAUAAAGGCUGCAAAUAAGAAAUCUGCAUGGCGCAUCAUUUUUGGAAUGUUCUAUGGAUGUGUUGUGCUGUUCUCUUUCAUUUUGAGUAGAGGUUUUAUCAGGAUGCAUGUGAAGUGGGUCUGGUUAUAUUUUCUGUCUCUGGCACAAUUCUUCCUACUGAUUUCCUCAUUUGGACUUCCCAGUCCAGGUAAGUUGCACCUGAGUACAGUUCCCUUCACACUUAGAUUAUUAAAUACAGUAAUAUGA
RNAcentral lists this long non-coding RNA (340 nucleotides) under Sinocyclocheilus grahami. RNAcentral describes it as "lncRNA (ENSSGRG00000034930.1)". Lineage: Eukaryota; Metazoa; Chordata; Actinopteri; Cypriniformes; Cyprinidae. The record is from RNAcentral.